AGUGAACGCUGGCGGUAGGCCUAACACAUGCAAGUCGAACGGCAGCACAGUAAGAGCUUGCUCUUACGGGUGGCGAGUGGCGGACGGGUGAGGAAUACAUCGGAAUCUACUUUUUCGUGGGGGAUAACGUAGGGAAACUUACGCUAAUACCGCAUACGACCUACGGGUGAAAGCAGGGGAUCUUUGGACCUUGCGCGAUUGAAUGAGCCGAUGUCGGAUUAGCUAGUUGGCGGGGUAAAGGCCCACCAAGGCGACGAUCCGUAGCUGGUCUGAGAGGAUGAUCCGCCACACUGGAACUGAGACACGGUCCACACUCCUACGGGAGGCAGCAGUGGGGAAUAUUGGACAAUGGGCGCAAGCCUGAUCCAGCCAUACCGCGUGAGUGAAGAAGGCCUUCGGGUUGUAAAGCCCUUUUGUUGGGAAAGAAAAGCAGCAGGUUAAUACCCCGCUGUUCUGACGGUACCCAAAGAAUAAGCACCGGCUAACUUCGUG
RNAcentral lists this ribosomal RNA (492 nucleotides) under uncultured bacterium. RNAcentral's name for it is "partial 16S ribosomal RNA". It matches the Rfam family "Bacterial small subunit ribosomal RNA", at positions 29 to 507 of the family's 1533-position model. The record is from RNAcentral.